RNAcentral lists this long non-coding RNA (210 nucleotides) under Setaria viridis. RNAcentral describes it as "long non-coding RNA (SVIR_LNC008922)". Lineage: Eukaryota; Viridiplantae; Streptophyta; Magnoliopsida; Poales; Poaceae. The record is from RNAcentral.
UGGUGGGUGGUGCGGGGUACACAGAACAAAAAACCCAGAUUAAAGAAUGGUUUACUGGUAGAACUAAUGAAUUUUUCAACUAUCAAUAUAAUAUUAUUUCUCGUAACCUUGUAUGGAAAAUAUCCAAGUUUUCUGCCCAUGUAAUAAAAUCGGUCAAAAUCUCACAUGACAUAAAAGAUGAGAUACCAAACAAUAUUACAAUAGUCUAUU